GUGGGGGAUAUUGCACAAUGGAGGAAACUCUGAUGCAGCGACGCCGCGUGAGUGAAGAAGUACUUCGGUAUGUAAAGCUCUAUCAGCAGGGAAGAUAAUGACAGUACCUGACUAAGAAGCGCCGGCUAACUACGUGCCAGCAGCCGCGGGAAUACGUAGGGGGCAAGCGUUAUCCGGAUUUACUGGGUGUAAAGGGAGCGUAGACGGAAUGGCAAGUCUGAAGUGAAAUCCGGCGGCUUAACUGCAGAAUUGCGUUGGAAACUGUCAAUCUGGAGUGUUGGAGAGGUAAGCGGAAUUCCUGGUGUAGCGGUGAAAUGCGUAGAUAUCAAGAAGAACACCGGAGGCGAAAGCGGAUUACUGGACAAUAACUGACGUUGAGGCUCGAAAGCGUGGGAAGCAAACAGGAUUAGAUACCCGUGUAGUCC
This 425-nucleotide ribosomal RNA is filed under the name uncultured bacterium. RNAcentral's name for it is "partial 16S ribosomal RNA". It matches the Rfam family "Bacterial small subunit ribosomal RNA", at positions 354 to 796 of the family's 1533-position model. The record is from RNAcentral.